Molecule: ribosomal RNA, 449 nt
Filed under: uncultured bacterium
Lineage: Bacteria
Description: partial 16S ribosomal RNA
Rfam family: Bacterial small subunit ribosomal RNA
Source: RNAcentral
AACGAACGCUGGCGGCAGGCCUAACACAUGCAAGUCGAGCGAGGACUUCGGUCCUAGCGGCGGACGGGUGAGUAACGCGUGGGAACGUGCCCCUUGGUACGGAAUAGCCCCGGGAAACUGGGAGUAAUACCGUAUGAGCUCUACGGAGGAAAGAUUUAUCGCCAAGGGAUCGGCCCGCGUUGGAUUAGGUAGUUGGUGGGGUAAUGGCCUACCAAGCCGACGAUCCAUAGCUGGUUUGAGAGGAUGAUCAGCCACACUGGGACUGAGACACGGCCCAGACUCCUACGGGUGGCAGCAGUGGGGAAUUUUAGACAAUGGGCGCAAGCCUGAUCUAGCCAUGCCGCGUGAGCGAUGAAGGCCUUAGGGUUGUAAAGCUCUUUCAGCUGGGAAGAUAAUGACUGUACCAGCAGAAGAAGCCCCGGCUAACUCCGUGCCAGCAGCCGCCGUAA